AACGAACGCUGGCGGCAUGCCUAACACAUGCAAGUCGAACGAGACCUUCGGGUCUAGUGGCGCACGGGUGCGUAGCGCGUGGGAACCUGCCCUUAGGUUCGGAAUAACUCCCCGAAAGGGGUGCUAAUACCGGAUAAUGUCUUCGGACCAAAGAUUUAUCGCCUUUGGAUGGGCCCGCGUUGGAGUAGCUAGUUGGUAGGGUAAAAGCCUACCAAGGCGACGAUCCAUAGCUGGUCUGAGAGGAUGAUCAGCCACACUGGGACUGAGACACGGCCCAGACUCCUACGGGAGGCAGCAGUGGGGAAUAUUGGACAAUGGGCGAAAGCCUGAUCCAGCAAUGCCGCGUGAGUGAUGAAGGCCUUAGGGUUGUAAAGCUCUUUUACCCGGGAUGAUAAUGACAGUACCGGGAGAAUAAGCUCCGGCUAACUCCGUG
This 433-nucleotide ribosomal RNA is filed under the name uncultured bacterium. Its description in RNAcentral is "partial 16S ribosomal RNA". It matches the Rfam family "Bacterial small subunit ribosomal RNA", at positions 29 to 507 of the family's 1533-position model. The record is from RNAcentral.